RNAcentral lists this ribosomal RNA (497 nucleotides) under uncultured bacterium. Its description in RNAcentral is "partial 16S ribosomal RNA". It matches the Rfam family "Bacterial small subunit ribosomal RNA", at positions 28 to 507 of the family's 1533-position model. The record is from RNAcentral.
GAUGAACGCUGGCGGCGUGCCUAAUACAUGCAAGUCGAGCGACCAGACAAGAAGCUUCCUCCCCUACCGUUAGCGGCGGACGGGUGGGUAACACGUGGAUAACCACCCUAUAAACCUGGGAUAACUUCGGGAAACCGGUGCUAAUACCGAAUAAUAUAUUAAACCGCUUGGUUCAAUAGUUAAAAACGGUUUUGCGUUCACUUUUAGAUGGAUCCGCGCCGCAUUAGCUAGUUGGUAAGGUAACGGCUUACCAAGGCAACGAUGCGUAGCCGACCUGAGAGGGUGAUCGGCCACACUGGAACUGAGACACGGUCCAGACUCCUACGGGAGGCAGCAGUAGGGAAUCUUCCGCAAUGGGCGAAAGCUUGACGGAGCAACGCCGCGUGAGUGAUGAAGGUCUUCGGAUCGUAAAACUCUGUUAUUAGGGAAGAACAAAUGUGUAAGUAACUAUGCACGUCUUGACGGUACCUAAUCAGAAAGCCACGGCUAACUACGUG